RNAcentral lists this ribosomal RNA (857 nucleotides) under uncultured bacterium. Its description in RNAcentral is "SSU rRNA". It matches the Rfam family "Bacterial small subunit ribosomal RNA", at positions 524 to 1381 of the family's 1533-position model. The record is from RNAcentral.
UACGGGAGUGGCAAGCGUUAUCCGGAAUUAUUGGGCGUAAAGCGUCCGCAGGCGGUCUUGUAAGUCUGUUGUUAAAGCGUGGAGCUUAACUCCAUUUCAGCAAUGGAAACUGUAAGACUAGAGUGUGGUAGGGGCAGAGGGAAUUCCCGGUGUAGCGGUGAAAUGCGUAGAUAUCGGGAAGAACACCAGUGGCGAAGGCGCUCUGCUGGGCCAUAACUGACGCUCAUGGACGAAAGCCAGGGGAGCGAAAGGGAUUAGAUACCCCUGUAGUCCUGGCCGUAAACGAUGAACACUAGGUGUCGGGGGAAUCGACCCCCUCGGUGUCGUAGCCAACGCGUUAAGUGUUCCGCCUGGGGAGUACGCACGCAAGUGUGAAACUCAAAGGAAUUGACGGGGGCCCGCACAAGCGGUGGAGUAUGUGGUUUAAUUCGAUGCAACGCGAAGAACCUUACCAGGGUUUGACAUCCUGCGAAUCUUUUGGAAACAGAAGAGUGCCUUCGGGAACGCAGUGACAGGUGGUGCAUGGCUGUCGUCAGCUCGUGUCGUGAGAUGCUGGGUUAAGUCCCGCAACGAGCGCAACCCACGUCGUUAGUUGCCAGCAUUUAGUUGGGCACUCUAGCGAGACCGCCGGUGAUAAACCGGAGGAAGGUGUGGAUGACGUCAAGUCAUCAUGCCCCUUACAUCCUGGGCUACACACGUACUACAAUGCUACGGACAAAGGGCAGCAAACUCGCGAGAGCUAGCAAAUCCCAUAAACCGUGGCUCAGUUCAGAUCGUAGGCUGCAACUCGCCUACGUGAAGGAGGAAUCGCUAGUAAUCGCAGGUCAGCAUACUGCGGUGAAUACGUUCCCGGGCCU